This 465-nucleotide ribosomal RNA is filed under the name Vreelandella stevensii. Its description in RNAcentral is "partial 16S ribosomal RNA". It matches the Rfam family "Bacterial small subunit ribosomal RNA", at positions 338 to 795 of the family's 1533-position model. Lineage: Bacteria; Pseudomonadati; Pseudomonadota; Gammaproteobacteria; Oceanospirillales; Halomonadaceae. The record is from RNAcentral.
CCUACGGGUGGCUGCAGUGGGGAAUAUUGGACAAUGGGGGGAACCCUGAUCCAGCCAUGCCGCGUGUGUGAAGAAGGCCCUCGGGUUGUAAAGCACUUUCAGUGAGGAAGAACGCCUGGUGGUGAAUACCCAUCAGGAAAGACAUCACUCACAGAAGAAGCACCGGCUAACUCCGUGCCAGCAGCCGCGGUAAUACGGAGGGUGCGAGCGUUAAUCGGAAUUACUGGGCGUAAAGCGCGCGUAGGUGGCUUGAUAAGCCGGUUGUGAAAGCCCCGGGCUCAACCUGGGAACGGCAUCCGGAACUGUCAAGCUAGAGUGCAGGAGAGGAAGGUAGAAUUCCCGGUGUAGCGGUGAAAUGCGUAGAGAUCGGGAGGAAUACCAGUGGCGAAGGCGGCCUUCUGGACUGACACUGACACUGAGGUGCGAAAGCGUGGGUAGCAAACAGGAUUAGAUACCCCUGUAGUC